AUGAGAUUCAGGUUUCAAGAGUCAUAGAUUUCUGGCAACAUUACUUAUUAGCUAAACAGCUAAGUGACCUUGAGUAAGUUGUUUAAUCUCUCAGAGUCUCAGCUGCACUCAGUUCCAGUUCCAACAACUGCAAAUCGGGGAAACUAAUAUUAUCUCUCCCUUUUUUUUUUAGAACAACUCAGCAAAAUAAAAUUCCUGUUUAUUGUUGGACAACAUUGUUUCACACAUACAUCAAAUAGGCCGGAAAAAAAAAAAAACAGCAACUUCGUAGACAAAAAAGGAAAAAAAAAGAAACCUUUUAUCUUUGGCCUUUUUAACCAUCUCAUACAAACCAGCUACUUACAGUACAGCUAAGUACAUACACAAAACAGUUACUGGAAUGCUCGGAAUAAGAUUGUUUUUCUGUUGUCGUUUUUGCUUUUUUUUACAAGGUUUUUUUUCUCCUUUGAGAUUAUAAUGAACAUGGUCACACCACAAGUAAAGUCAGAAGCAGGGCAGAGAACGCUCCGAAGGCUGGUUUGGUCAUCCGAGAUCAUUAAAAAUGGCUGACCCUAACAACAUAUACACAAAUAUAAAAUGUAAAUAAAAAAUACAAACACAUUUCCUUUUUAAAGUACUUUUAAGAAAAAAAGCAGUGCCGUGGAAGUUUUGGUGCUUUUUUCCUCCCCUGCUGCGGACCCUCACGGUUUGGAUCGGGCGGUGGAGACGCGUGUCGCCUGCGGGGGGCGCUGCUCACGGCGGGCGCGCGGGCCUCUCUACCCGAAGGCGACCACGUUUAGAUUCUGAGACCGGAAGUGGAGGGUCAACAGGUCACGGCGGCCUUUCUUUGAGUUUAACUUUUCCUUUUUUGCUGUCUGGUGAUCCUCGUCGGUCUUCUGCUUCUUGGCAUCGACAUCGUCAUCCUCAUCGCCUUCAGCUGCCCGCUUGCCCGGAGCUGACUCAGCUUCCUCAUCUUCAUCUCCAUCCUCUUCCUCAUAGCAUUCCCGUUAGCAGGGGCGUCCCUUCCAUUUUCGGCCUCUUCCACAACUUUCUUCUUCUCCUUUACGUCCUUGGUGGUGGUUUCGGAGCCGGUGAUGCGAUGCAGGGGAUUAAAAAGAAAGCGAGAGUUCAGGGACUCUGGCGAUGA
This 1126-nucleotide long non-coding RNA is filed under the name Pan troglodytes (chimpanzee). RNAcentral's name for it is "lncRNA (ENSPTRG00000054070.1)". Lineage: Eukaryota; Metazoa; Chordata; Mammalia; Primates; Hominidae. The record is from RNAcentral.